Rhododendron vialii is the source of this 2815-nucleotide RNA transcript. It is a transcript of the gene named pentatricopeptide repeat-containing protein At2g46050, mitochondrial, with no coding region annotated. The transcript is spliced from 2 exons. The record is from RefSeq and is a predicted model, not a curated record. NCBI's taxonomy places the organism in Eukaryota, Viridiplantae, Streptophyta, Magnoliopsida, Ericales, Ericaceae.
UUCUUCGAGGCCGAUAAAAAAAAUAUACGGUUCUUGGAGAAUGUAUAAUUAUUGGAGUCGAUACAAAUUGUGUCCUAAUAUUAAAUCAAAUUUAUCUUUUAUAAAACCCUGUCAUCCAUUAAAACAAAAUAAAGAGUACUUCGAUCGAUCUUUAAGCAUUCUCCUAAAACAGUUUUCCCGCCGACGUUUGAUUUAUUUUCUUCAAACGGUUCUCCUUUUCGUUCUUUUAUACAUAUAUAUACUCCUAUAAAAAAACUGUUUUCCUUCGUUUCUUAAACUUAUGAUCCACAAAUUCCGCACCGUCCAUUUCAAACGUCAGUUAUCAACCGCCAUAACUGUAAACCCAAUCAACCAAAACGGCCGAAACCAUCAUUUUAACAACGAAUUUUCACAUCUGGGUCGACUCAGAGCUUCAGUGGCGGGUUUGGAAACGACCCAUUUCUUGAGCUCAUACUUAACCCCUUCCUUACUUUCCAUUGCCUUGAAAAACUCUGCAAGAAUGGGUUCUUUUUUGGGAGGACUACAGCUACAUGGGUAUCUGUAUAAGUCAGGGUUAUGUAAUGUACUGUCAUUGCAAAACCAGCUCUUGAAUGUUUAUGUUAAGUGCAAGGAGUUCCAUGAUGCUUGCAAUCUGUUUGAUGAAAUGCUGGUGAGGAAUAUUGUAACUUGGAAUACUUUGCUGUGUGGUUUAGCUACCUGUGGAGCUGGUUUUAGGUCGAUUUUCGAUCUGGGUUUUCCCUAUUUCAAGAGGAUGUUAUCACAGAUGAUGAGCCCUGAUUGCAUCACGUUUACGAGUUUGCUUCGUGUCAGCAUUGAGCUGGAUGAUGUUGAGAUUGGCCGGCAGUUGCAUUGUAUUAUAGUGAAACUGGGACUGUGUGUGAACUGCUUUGUAAGUAGUGCUCUCGUUGAUUUCUAUUCGAAAUUCGGUUUAGUUGGAGAUGCAAGAUGCACUUUUGAUUGUUGUUUGGGGAAAGAUUUGGUCUUGUGGAACGUGAUGGUGUCUUGCUAUGUUUCGAAUUGUUUGGAAAAAGAUGCUCUUUUGGUCUUUAGUCUGAUGCGGUUGGAGGGUGUAAAUGGGGAUGGUUUUACAUUUAGUAAUCUGCUCAAUGCCUCUGCCGUUUUGGGAUGUUCAGUGUUUGGUAGGCAGCUUCAUAGCCUUGUUAUUAGCUUGUCAUUUGAUUUAGACGUGGUAGUGGCUAGCACACUUGUUGAUAUGUAUGCGAAGAAUGAAAACAUAGAGGAUGCUCGCAAGACCUUCGAUGAGAUGGUCUUCAGAAAUAUUAUCUUGUGGAACACGAUGAUUGUGGGUUAUGGACAACAUGGUGACAGAAAGGAGGCAGUAGAACUUCUUGUGGAGAUGUUUCGAGAAGAUUUGCAUCCUGAUGAACUGACUCUGGCAAGUGUCCUUAGUUCAUGCGGUAAUUUAUCCUCUUUUUCAGAAAUUGUGCAACUUCAUGCCUAUGCUAUAAAAGUUGGGCUUCAAACUGUUUUAUCAAUUGCAAAUUCGCUAAUAAAUGCGUAUUCCAAGUGUGGUACCAUUGCUGUGGCAUUCAAAUGUUUCAGCUCUAUUUCAGAGCCCGAUAUUGUUUCAUGGGCUUCAAUGAUUAGGGCCUAUGCAUUCAAUGGUCUUCCAAGAAAAGGUAUUGAACUCUUUGAUGAGAUGCUAUUGAAUGGUAAAACGCCAGAUCGAGUUGCAUUUCUUGGUGUUCUCUCUGCCUGUAGCCAUGGAGGAUUAGUAGAUGAGGGGCUUCAUUACUUCAAUCUAAUGACUAAUGUCUACAACAUUGAGCCACAUUCGGAGCACUAUACUUGUCUCAUUGACGUACUUGGGCGUCUCGGUCUUGUAGAUCAUGCUCUAGAAGUCUUGACAUCGAUGCCUUUUGAACCAGGAUCAGACCAGCUGGGAGCCUUUAUUGGGGCAUGUAAGGUCCAUGGAAACUCAGAAUUAGCAAAUUGGGCUGCUGAAAAGCUUUUCGUACUUGAACCAGGGAAGCAUGCUAAUUAUACCCUCUUGUGUAAUACAUAUGCUUCUAAGGGUUGUUGGGUUGAUGUAGCAAGAGUUCGAAAAAUGAUGAGGAACAGGUGCAAUGAUAAAGUCCCGGGUUGUAGCUGGAUAGAGAUUGCUGGUGAGAUUCACACCUUUGUGUCAAGUGAUAAAUCCCAGCUUCGAGCAUUAGAGGCAUAUGCAUUAUUGGAAGUGCUGGUCAAAUUAAUGGAGGAGGAAGAUUGUUUGCCCUGUGUAGACUAAAUUUGGUUGCAUUGAGGAAGAUCCUUGGUCAGUUCAGACUUCAUGUGACGUUUUCUUUGAGAACACGGGUGAUUGUCGGGUGGAUUCUGGUUUGCUUCUAAUUUGAGCUGAGAAGAGCAAUGUCUACCAGUUUGGUUGAUCGAGCUGGUUCCAGGCAGGCACCCUACUGAACCUAAACGGAGACUAAAGCAAUGCACACAAGACGGGUUUACUCUGUUUCUUCCUAAACCUGAUGGAAAUCACUUGUUUCUGGGCAAGAACAACUCUCUCGUGUGUAGAUAUUCAAUAUUCCAUGCAAGGGUUAAGGUGAUUUAGAUUGUUCAAAUGUAGGCCAUCUAGAAGUUUUCCGAUGGAAAUACCAUAUCAGCACUAAUUACAAGCUUAAAUACCUGUAAUGAGCAUUUGUAUUCUGAUAUAUAGUUACUAAUACAGAAGAAAAAAACUGAAAACUGAAAAGCAUAAGGUUGUGAGCUUUACAGAACAACAGAUACCAUCGGGAGCAUUUGUACUCUCGCUACGCUGCUCUACAUUUUGAGAAGUGAAAUCUAAAUUGUCAUAAUAUUUCAC